UACGUAGGGGCAAGCGUUGUCCGGAAUCAUUGGGCGUAAAGAGCGUGUAGGCGGCCGGGUAAGUCCGGUGUGAAAACUCGAGGCUUAACCUCGAGAUGUCAUCGGAAACUAUUCGGCUAGAGUCCGGAAGAGGAGAGUGGAAUUCCUGGUGUAGCGGUGAAAUGCGCAGAUAUCAGGAAGAACACCAAUGGCGAAGGCAGCUCUCUGGGACGGUACUGACGCUGAGACGCGAAAGCGUGGGGAGCGAACAGG
Molecule: ribosomal RNA, 252 nt
Filed under: uncultured bacterium
Lineage: Bacteria
Description: partial 16S ribosomal RNA
Rfam family: Bacterial small subunit ribosomal RNA
Source: RNAcentral